RNAcentral lists this long non-coding RNA (970 nucleotides) under Ailuropoda melanoleuca (giant panda). RNAcentral describes it as "lncRNA (ENSAMEG00000031100.1)". Lineage: Eukaryota; Metazoa; Chordata; Mammalia; Carnivora; Ursidae. The record is from RNAcentral.
UAAUUGCCUUAUUUAUGUCUGUUUUUUUCCAUUUGAAACAGAAGCACAUGCAUGACCUGACUGAAGGAUGGCUGAUUUUCUGUAUCAGCUGCCAUGCCGUGAUGACUUCUAGAAGAGAGGGGAGUGAGACAGGAGACUGCUGGACUAUCUCCAACAGGAGAACACCAAGGCCUCACUGAGAGUGUCAGACGAGUCUGGAUGGCAGGGGUUACAUGCUGUCCCUCAACCGAGUGCCAUCUCACCCGGGACCCAUCAUAGCCCAUGCAGGACCCAUCGGUUCAUCUUCUGCUGCAGCGUUCAUAGUUCUAGAGCCUGGACCUUGGAUGCAAAAUUGGUAUUAUUUUCUAAAAAGUCCUGUAUCUUCCAAGUGGAGGUCAUCUGCUGGCACAAGCCGGACUGCACCAUCUGAGCAUUCAAACUCACCGAGUGUUGAAAAGAGGGUCAAGAGGAGCCAAGCAACUCAUGGAACUUUUCUCCCGGGUAAGAAACCUGCAUCCCAGGGUCACAGUCCCCUCUCUUUGUGUCUUUUUUCCCCUUUGUGUCUUUAAUUUGUUCCUCACCACUAGUUAUUUUACUUCAUCCUACAAAUAGACCCCCAAAUCAAGAAUGCAACUGGCUACGAGGCACAGAUCCUCCUGAGUAUCUGGUGGGUGACUCCCGUGUAACCCAUUCAAAAUGGAAUCCAUCAGGUGCUACUCCCCCGCCUACAUCCACCUCCCCAGACCUGUUCUAUUCCUGUACACUAUUUACUGAUAUAUAAACACACUCAAUCUAAAAACCUUUUUCAUAAGCAGAAGUUCAUAUAAAUGACUAUUAAUUCUCACUCUUAUUAAUGUCACAGUAACAUUUUUCUAGUAAUAGAAAAGUAAGCUUAAACAUUAAGCUAGUGAUAUUGACAACAUAAAUUGUAUUAUAAAGGUAACUGUAAACUCUGCAAUUACACUAAUAAAAUAAAAAUUUCUAAAGUGAC